RNAcentral lists this long non-coding RNA (691 nucleotides) under Fukomys damarensis (Damara mole-rat). RNAcentral's name for it is "lncRNA (ENSFDAG00000024396.1)". The record is from RNAcentral. Lineage: Eukaryota; Metazoa; Chordata; Mammalia; Rodentia; Bathyergidae.
AAGCGGGUAGUCCGGGCUCGGCCUCCAGCUGGCGCGCCUCGGGCUCGCGCGCCGCUGACUUGCCAGGCUCAGUUCAGCUCGUGCCCUGGAGCGCGAUCCUCGGCUGCAAUCCGCGUCCCUUGAUCCAGGAAAUAAUUUUAGGGCGACUUCAGAGCUUGUUUUGUCUUGGUAGUGGUGUGUGAAGGGGUGGAGUCUGCCGCCUGCCAAAACAUUUGCUACCUUGUUCACUUUGCAAAACUGGCAACCCAAGUUUCUUUAUCAAGGCCCAGGUUAGGGAGCUGCAACCCCCACGUUGAAACUGUAGGCGGCCUUAUCCAGCGUGCCACUGCAUACUAGUCGUGCACUCUAGGCCUCCAGUCCAACGGGACGGUUCCUGGGUAGCGCCCACCACCUACCAGGUCCACUGGGAUCAGAGGGUGAGCAAAUAUCCGACCCCUACUCCGUUGGAGUUUGUGAUCUGGGAGCCAGUUACCAACGGGAUGAUGGGCUGGUUCCAUUCUGCACAGGGAAAUUCCUAAAGAAUCAGUGAUAAUGCUUUCUGUGAAUGACUAUUGAUGGAGUGAACAGAGUGUGAACAUCAAGUUCCAGCAGGCACUGCAAGAAUGAGGGCCCUUUACAGAACCAGUACUAUGCAUAUUUCAACAGAGGAAAAGGAGACAUGGAGAUUGCAAAUAAAUUCCUUCAAGAAGUC